UUGGGUUUCAGCCCUGCAUUCAGGUUCUUACUGUUGUAUUCAAUACCAAAACAUAGGUUCUCUAUCCAAGAGUUGUAAGGUCGCCCAAUAUUUAUUGAGCUUUUUAAUAGAUUCGGGAGACAAAUAAAGAUGAAUUUCUUGUCGUAUUUCUCUUUGUAAAUGAUUACUUUAAUCUCCUUUUAACAUAGUUAUUUCGAUUCUUGUUUCUUGCAUUAAUUCUAAAGUUUUUUCUAUUUGCUACGUGUUCGUAUUCACUAGUCGUAAAGAAACUAGUUUUACAAAGGGGUGUACCUGAGAUGAAGAGGUUACAUUGUUUUGCCUCUGAGCUUAUGUGUUCUCCAUUGAUCCUACUUGUCCCAUAGAUGAGAAAAAACCAUAGUUCUUUGUGCUUAUCCCUGCAUUUGCCAUUGACGGUACAAAGGUUUAUGUCUUGGAUGUUCGGGUAGACUAGUGAGGGGAUGUCGUUGUCAUUAGAUAGGUUUGGUUCAUGGAAAUGUACAUUGGUGUCUCCCAUGUUGGAAUGUGAAAAAACGAUAACCCAAGAAUUGGUAGUUCAUUGGUGGUUGAAGAGUUGUCGACAUUCAUAGAUGGUUGUUGUAAGUCUCCAUGGCUCUCCUUAUUUCGUCUGACACAAUUUGAUCUUUGAAAAAAAGAUUUUGUAUCACUAGCAUCAUUUCUUAAUUUUCCAUCAAGACAUGCAGUGUUAGAGAGUGACCUUGGAGACCCAAGAUGAAGGGUUCGUGUUGGGUACUACUUACUAGCGUUGUCAUGUAGAUGGGGGUUAUACCUGCAACCAAUCAACCCACUUGUAAUAAGAGAAUCGGUGGUAAAGUUUGUUUGGUUUGGAUUCAUAGUUGAUUGAGUGGGUAGAGAAGAGAUUGUUUGCUUUGGUCAAAGAUGAGAUCAUAUGGGUCUUCUGCUCAUUGAUAUUUAAAGGAGGCAAAUCAAUUGUGAUAAAAGUAGUAUUUAUUGUAGUUUUUAAUAUUCCUAGAAUGUUGGAACUAAGGGUAGAAGGAUUAACUGUCUGAACUAGUAGUAUUUAUUGUAGUUUUGAUGUUCUGACAUAUUGAAAGAAAAAAAGGACCAACUAUCAAGAAUAAGGUUAUGUAAUAGAUCUACCCUCUUUGUUUUGAGCAAAUAUAGAAGUGUGUCCACAUGAAGAAACUAUAGAGCUGACUUAUUCUAUUCAUUUUCUUUCCUUCCCAAGUUCUACAUGUAGUUGUCAUUCUUAAAUAGAGAUUUCAACUUAAAAUUUUUGAGUUUUGGCAGUUAAUCCUUCUACUCCUUGUUCUAACAUCCUAGGAAUAUUAAGAGCUACAAUAAAUAAUAUUCUAUUCUCAUAAAUUGUAUCGCAAUAGAUUUGCCUCAUUUAAAUAUCAAUGAUUAGAAGAUCCAUAUACUGACAAAAAGCGAACAACCUCUUCUCUACCCACUCAAUCAAUCAUGGAUCCAAACCAAACGAAUUUGACCACCAAUUCCCUUAAUACCAUUGGACAGAUUGGUUGAGCGUGCAACCUCCAUCUACGUGACGCCGUCAAUACCCAACACAAACCCAUCAUCUUGGGUCGAAAUGGGUCUCCAAGGCCACUCUCUAACACUGCAUGUCUUGAUAGAGAAUCAAGAAAUGAUGCUAGUGAUAAAAAAUCCUUCCUAGCUCAGAUUGUUUCGAAGAGGAUGAGGAGAGCCAUGGAGACUUACAACAGCCAUCUAUGGAUGUCGACAACCCUUCAGCCACCAACUCCUAAGGUUACUAUUUUUUCACAUUCCAACAUAGAAGACACCAUUGUACACUCCCAUGCACCAAACUCAUCCAAUAGCAAUGACAACCCCCCACCAAGCUAUCUGAACAUCCGAGACAUAGACCCAUUGUACUAUCACUAGUAAAUACAGUGACUAGCAUAGAGAACCGAGGUUUUUUACCCAACUAUGGGACAUGUGGGAUUAAUAGAGAGAGCACAUGAGCUCAGAUGCAAAACAACAUAGCCACAUUACCUUAGGUACACCCCUGUAAAACUAAUUUCAUUACGACAAUUCAUAUUCACUGGUCAUAAAGGAACUAGUUUUACAGGGAGGUGUACCUGAAUUGAGGAGGUUACAUUGUUUUGCCUCUAAGUUCAUGUGCUCUCAAUUGAUCACACUAGUCCUGUAGUUGGGAAAAAACCCUAGUUCCAUGUGCUUGCGCCUGCAUUUGCCAAUGAUGGUCCAAAUGAUCUAUGUUUUAGAUGUUCGGGUAGCUUAGUGGGGUGGGGGGGAGUCACUGCUAUUGGAUGGUUUUGGUGCAUGAGAGUGUACAGUGGUGUCUCCCAUGCUGGAAUGUGAAAGAAUGAUAACCCCGGGAGUUGGUGGCUAAAUGGUUGUCAACAUCCAUAGAUAAUUGUUGUAAAUCUCCAUGGCUCUCCUCAUCCCCCUCCAAAACAAUCUAAGCUAGGAAAGAUUUUGUAUCACUAGCAUCAAUUCUUGAUUCUCCAUCAAGACAUGCAGUGUUAAAGAGUGGCCUUGGAGACCCAUUUUGACCCAAGAUGACGGGUUUGUGUUAGGUAUUGGUGGCAUCGUGCAAAUGGGGGCUGCACCCGCAACCAAUCCGUCCACUAGUAUUAAGGGAAUUGUGGUAAAAUUCGUUUGGUUUGAAUUCAUGGUUGAUUGAGUUGGUAGAGAAGAGGUUGUUCGGUUUUGUCAGUGAUGAGAUUGUAUGAGUGUUCUUUUAAUUGAUAUUUUAUGGACGCAAAUCUAUUGUGAUAGAAUUUAUGGUAAUAAAAGUAGUAUUAAUUGUAGUUUUAAUAUUCCUAGAAUGUUGGGACUAGGAGUAGAAGGAUUAACCUAGUAGUGUUUAUUGUAGUUUUGAUUUUUUGACAUAAUGAAAGAAUAAAAGAGAGAAAGGAAGGACUAUCAGAUAGAAGAACAACACCGUCCAUGUAGUGACUACAUCUUGUAUAUAACUACUAGUAUAUCUUCAACUUAUAAGGUGCUCAAGGCAAUUUCUUUUUUUUGUACUAGGAGAUGUACGUAGACCUAACCCCUACUUUUGUGGAGUAGGAAGACUAUUUCAAUAGAUCCUCAACUCAAAAGAAAAGUUAUUGAAGCAUGCUUGAAAAAAGACACCAACUAAAGAUAGUACAAUCACGUAAGAAAAUCAUGAUAAUUUUACUCACUUAUUUGCUAAUACUUUGUUGUCUAGCAGGCUCAAAUGGUUAUUAAGUGCCAAAGGAAGUUCAAGUGAGUCGAGAGUAAGGAGAAAAAACAUAUUUCCCCAUCUGUCAGUGAGAUGUCUUAACUUUGGAAAUAUAUAUUGAAGAUCAAUUUGAAAAUGAGCAGUUUCCAUUCUCAUGAUGAUAAAAGUUAGGACCCAAAAAGUCCAGAAGUUACAUACAUUUUCCAAUUACUGAGAGUAUGAAGACUCCAUGCAACUUCAGACGUUUUAGUAACAUUAAGGAUCUAGUGCAAACUUCAAAGUUUACUAAAUGAUAGCAUACUUUUAUUCCCCAAUAGAUUUUGUCUUGCUGUUUACGGCCACCCAAUAUUAUCUACUUUCCUUAAAAGAUACUUCCCUUUAUAAUUCCUCCUUGAAUACAUUGGUGCAUAUGCUUAAUCAUGCAAUGCUGAGUUAAGAAGAGAAGUAAACUUUGAGAAAGGGAGAUAGAGUUUAAAGAAGAAAUAUAUCAGCCUAAUGUAAAGAACUUAGAAAAUAAAUGUGUCAGCCUAAUGUGAAGACUAUAAUAAUAAAAAGCACAAGAAGACACCACUAAAUAUAGUACAAUCAUGUAAAAAUCAUGAUAAUUUUACUCACUUAUUUGCUAAUACUUUGUUGUCUAGCAGGCUCAAAUAGUUAUUGUAAGUCCCAAAGGAAGUUCAAGUGAGUCAAGAGUAAGGAGAAUAAACAUAUUUUCCCAUCUGUCAGUGAGAUGGCUUAACUUAGGAAAUAUAAAUUGAAGAUCAAUUUGAAAAUGAGCAGUUUCCAUUCUCAUGACGAUAAAAGUCAGGACCCAAAAAGUUCAAAAGUUACAUACAUUUUCCAAUUACUGAGAGUAUGAAGACUCCAUGCAACUUCAGACUUUUUAGUAACAUUAAGGAUCUAGUGCAAACUGCAAAGACGUUUACUAAAUGAUAGCAUACUCUGCCUCCCCAAUAGAUUUUGUCUUACUCUUUUUCGGCCACCCAAUAUUAUCUACUUUCCUUAAAAGAUACUUCCUUUUAUAAUUCCUAUUUGAAUACAUUGGUACAUAUGUUUAAUCAUGCAAUGCGGAGUCAAGAAGAGAAGUGAACUUUGAGAAAAGGGAGAUAGAGUUUAAAGAAGAAAUAUAUAGGCCUAAUGUAAAGAACUCAGAAAAUAUGUGUGUGUCGGCCUAAUGUGAAGACUAUAAUAAUAAAAAGCACAACUAUGCAGCUAUAAGGAGGUGUAAUAGCACUUCUAGAAAUGUUCAGCCGUGAGGCCAGCUAAAUCUUCUAUGUGUACCAUCUUGCUGUCAAUCAUUGAUGGUAGAAUUUAAAUCACAGGCCUUUACAUUUUCAAUAAGAUUUCAGCUAUUCUAGAACAUUUGAAUGGUUCAAGUACCAAUACUUUUUUAAUCAGUACUCCACGUAUCUAUAUUUGUUUUGAUAAACAACAACAUACCCAGUGUAAUCCCACAAGUGGGGUCUGGGGAGGGUAGGAUGUACACAGACCUUACCCCUACCAUUGUGGGGUACAGAGGUUGUUUCCGAUAGACCCUCUGCUCAAAAGGAAUGUUAUUGACGCAUAUUUGCUUUGGUAUUCUCAACAAUUAUUAGACUACACAAUAUUCUGUGCACCAUCCCAUUAGGUGAAGAAAAUGUCUCUAGAGUGCAUGGAGGAAGCCAAGCAUUAAAAAUUGAAUGCCAAAUGAGACAACUAUUGAGUAUAAUUGUGCAAUCUCUAAAUAGAAGGUGCUUCACACAAUAGAAUGCAAACUAGAAAUGAUAACAAUAUCUUUAUAAAAAGUACACUGAAAUUAGCAAUACUACUAUUUCCCAUUCUUGGACUCAAAUUUAUAUCAAGAAUAGACAAAAAUCUUUUCCAGUCACAUGUAAAGGGAUUAAAGCUACAGUGCAAGGUGUUGGUUGAUAGGGUAUCGCGCAUAAAAAAAUUAGUCUUACUUGCUGAUUGUCCGAUGGAUGUUUCAAUCAUGAGCAUUGGCUUAACAUAUGAUUCAGCAAUUGGGUGUGGCUCAGCCUCCCAACUCAGGAACUUCUGAACUCCACUGUCCUUUGGUUGGCCUGAGUCUAUCUGUUUUGUGUCAAUAGGCUCCUCAUAAGGAACCAAUUUUUGAUCAGGAACCUCAACUACAACUUUUGUAGAUUGUUGCCAAUAGUCAUAUCCAGAAUGACUAGUCUUGCGAGAUCCAACAACUUGACUGCUCUGCCCAGUCUUCGGCCUGUUAGAUGUUGGGCUUGCUAUCCAUUUUUGCACAUCAUCCCAUUUGGAAGGGGCAGGUUUUGAGGAAUGAGCUAGGGGCGCUCUCUGUGCAGCCCGUUCAGCCUUUUGAAAUUCAAAGAGAGGAGAUACAGUACCAACACUAUCGAUUCCACCAUCACAGUCCAAACUACUGUCAUCUUGAGACCUAUUUCUGGUACUAACCAAAGAUUGAUUUUUGAUUCUCAUGUCAUUAAUCAUCUCCAAGGACAUUGACGAAUUAACUACUACGGAAGUCGAACUCUCAGGAACAACAAUAACAACAUUUAUAUAUAUGCAAUUCUCCAACUUACAACCUGGCAAGCAAAAAACAAGUACUUGCAUUCAAACUAACUUAGUGUGUAAACAAGGUAAGCAUUAAAGAAAGAAAUGAAGGUACCCCCUAAGUACAAAUCUCAUUGCGUAACAUACAAAACGCCAAUGCAUUACUAUACCAGAGUCAUGGAUCUCAGGCAAAUGGGAUCUCAAGGACACAGUAGCAGAUUCAAACUCUUGAUCUUCUACUAUAUCAUCCGUUCCUUCUUGUCUCCUCUUCUUUCCUGCUCCCAGUAGCAUAGACCUCCGCUUUCUAGGAGAUAGCUAUAACAAAACAAACAAAAUGGAAGGGGAAAAAAAGCUUAAUUUCCUAAAUGAGAAAUGGAGUUUACAUAUAAAGUGAUAGCUCUGUAUAACUAUGGCAGAUUCAAUGGAUCAAAAGUUGAUCUCUUUUUCAAACAAAAGGAGAAUAAUGCAAGAAGUAGAAAAAAACAAACAAAACCAACAAUAACUAAAGUAGGAAAAGCGCAAUUGUGAUGAAAACGAUAUAGCAAUGCGUCAUUCUCUCUACCUUUUUUUGCCUUGAAAAUCAAAACACACAUUUGGGAAAGAGAAAGUGAAAAAAAGUGCUUUCAACCCAGAUCACAAAGCGAAUAAAGAACCAAAUUAACAACUAGACAGUACAUUUGUACCCUAACCAUUAUCACUGAAUCUGUAAGAUUCUCAAGCUCACAAUGACAAUAUUGCCUUCGAAAAUUAAAACACCUAUUGGGGAAAGAAAGAGCGAAAAAAAUUCCUUUCAACCCAGAUCACAAAGCAUCAAGGAACCAAAUUAACAACUAAGCAGUACAUCAGCAUCAGUGUUUGUACCCUACUCCAUUGUCACUCAUAAUGUCAAUAUUGCCUAAAAAAAUAAAACUCACAUUGGGAAAGAAAAAAAAAAGACGAAACUUUUGCUCGGAUGAUAAGCACCUUCCACCUCCAACUCAAAGAAUGAGGGUUUGAGUCAUCAAGUAGCAAAAAAGGUGCAACCUCUUAGGGAGGGGUAAAAAAAAACCCAGAUCACAAAACCAGUAAAGAACCAAAUAAACAAUUAAGCAGUACAAAGCGCAUCAGGAUUUGUGCCCUUUACUCCAUUUGUCACUCACAAUGUCAAUUUUGUAUCACUAGCAUCAUUUCUUGAUUUUUCCAUCAAGACAUGCAGCAUUUGAAAGUUUUGACCAAAGAUGAAGGGUUCGUGUUAAGUACUGGCGGCAUAGUGUAGAUGGGGAUGGCACCCACAACCAAUUCGUCCACUGGUAUUAAAGGAAUUGGUGGUAAAGUUUGGAUUCAUGGUUGAUUGAGUGGGUAGAGAAGAGGCUGUUUGCUUUUGUCAAAGAUGAGAUCGUAUGGGUCUUCUGAUCAUUGAUAUUUAAAAAAAGCAAAUCUAUUGUGAUAGAAGUAGUAUUUAAUAUUCCUAGAAUGUUGGAAUUAUAAGUAGAAGGAUUAACGGCCUGAACUAGUAGUAUUUAUUGUAGUUUUCAUGUUCUGACAUAUUGAAAGAAUAAAAGAGAGAAAGGAAUGACCAACUAUCAUGAAUAAGGUCGUGUAAUAGAUCUACCCUCUCCUUUGUUUUGAGCAAAUGUAGAAGUGUGUCCAUAGGACGACACUAUGGAGCUGACUUAUUCUGUUCAUUUCUUUCCUUCCCAUGUUCUACGUUUAUUUGUCAUUCUUAAAUAGAGAUUUCUUUCACCUUUUAAUUUUUGGCAGGUUGGUAUCUUUUUCAUGAUUUUUUUAAACAAAAAUUGAGGAUGCUAUCGUGGUUAUAUACAAGAUGUAGUCACUAUAUGGAAGGUGAUGUUCUUCUAUCUGAUAGUUGGUCCUUCAUUUCUCUAUUUCAUUAUGUCAAAACAUCAAAACUACAAUAAGCACUACUAGGUUAAUCCUUCUACUCCUAGUCCGAACAUUCUAUGAAUAUUAAAAACUAAAUUAAUACUACUUUUAUUACCAUAAAUUCUAUCAUAAUAGAUUUGCGUCCUUUAAAUAUCAAUAAAAAGAACACUCAUACAAUCUUAUCUCCGACAAAAGCGAACAACUUCUUCUCUACCCACUCAAUCAACCAUGAAUUCAAACCAAACGAAUUUUACCACAAUUCCCUUAAUACCAAUGAAUGGAUUGGUUGCAGGUGCAACCCCCAUCUGCAUGACACUGCCAAUACCUAACACAAACCAUCAUCUUGGGUCAAAAUGGGUCUCCAAGGACACUCUCUAACACUGCAUGUCUUGAUGGAGAAUCAAGAAAUAAUGCUAGUGAUUCAAAAUCUUUCCUUUCUAGCUAAGAUUAUUUCAGAAGGGAUAAGGAGAGCCACAGAGAAUUACAAUAGUCAUCUAUGGAUGUCGACAACCCUUUAGCCACCAAUGAAUUACAAACUCCUGGGUUACUUAAAGAACAUUCCAUCAAGGGAGAUCAUUGUACACUCUCAUGCACUAAACUCAUCCAAUAGCAGUGAUAACUCGCAGCAACCUGAACAUCUAAGACAUAGACCCUUAUACCAUUACUGGCAAAUACAAGUACUAGAGCAGGGAGCUGGGUUUUUUCCCAACUACGGUUCCCUACGCUAGUACAUGCAUUUGCUAGUAAUGGUGCAAAGGGUUUAUGUCUUGGAUGUUCAGGUAGCCUGGUAGAGGGGUUGUCACUACAAUUAGAUGGGUUUGGUGCAUGGGAGUGCAUAGUGGUGUCUCCCUUGUUGGAAUGUUAAAGAACAAUAACCCCGAGAGCUGGAAGUUUAUUGGUGGCUGAAGGGUUGUCGACAUCCAUAGAUGACUAUUGUAAUUCUCUGUGGCUCUCCUUAUCCCUUCUGAAAUAAUCUUAGCUAGAAAGGAAAGAUUUUGAAUCACUAGCAUUAUUUCUUGAUUCUCCAUCAAGACAUGCAGUGUUAGAGAGUGUCCUUGGAGACCCAUUUUGACCCAAGAUGAUGGUUUGUGUUAGGUAUUGGCAGUGUCAUGCAGAUGGGGGUUGCACCUGCAACCAAUCCAUUCAUUGGUAUUAAGGGAAUUGUGGUAAAAUUCGUUUGGUUUGAAUUCAUGGUUGAUUGAGUGGGUAGAGAAGAAGUUGUUCGCUUUUGUCGGAGAUAAGAUUGUAUGAGUGUUCUUUUUAUUGAUAUUUAAAGGACGCAAAUCUAUUAUGAUAGAAUUUAUGGUAAUAAAAGUAGUAUUAAUUUAGUUUUUAAUAUUCAUAGAAUGUUCGGACUAGGAGUAGAAGGAUUAACCUAGUAGUGCUUAUUGUAGUUUUGAUGUUUUGACAUAAUGAAAUAGAGAAAUGAAGGACCAACUAUCAGAUAGAAGAACAUCACCUUCCAUAUAGUGACUACAUCUUGUAUAUAACCACGAUAGCAUCCUCAAUUUUUGUUUAAAAAAAUCAUGAAAAAGAUACCAACAUUUUUGUCAUAUUGUAUUCAUAGAGUGCAACAAGUAUAUCAACUUAGGGGUCGUUUGGUAGUUGACUAGAGUUGUACAUGUAGUAGUAACGAAAAAAGGUCAUAUUCUCCCUCGUACUCUCACAAAUAAGUCAUAUUUUCCCUUCGUUACUUUUUCAACAAAUUUGUCCUUUUCAUCCAACUUUAGGGUCAUAUUUGCCCCUGUAUUCUCAAAAAGGGUCAUAUUUACCCCUACGACGUUAAAUCUUCAUGUAUUCAAUAUAUUUGCCCUUUUCUUCCAACUUUAGGACCAUAUUUGCCCUUAUACUAUAAAAAAGAUCAUAUUUGUCAUUCUUAAAUAGAGAUUUCACCUUUUAAUUUUUGAGUUCAGGCAAUUAAUUUUUCUACUCCUAGUUCCAACAUCCUAGGAAUAUUAAGAGUUACAAGAAAUACUAUUUCUAUUCCCAUAAAUUCAAUCACAAUAGAUUUGCCUCCUUUAAAAAUCAAUGACUAGAAGAUCCAUACAAUCUCAUUUUUGACAAAAGCGAAAAACCUCCUCUCUAUCACUCAGUCAAUCAUGGAUCCAAGCCAUACAAACCUUACCACCAACUCCCAUAAUACCAGUGGACGGAUUGGUUGCGGGUGCAACCCCCAUCUACAUGACGUCGCCAAUACCCAAAACAAACCCAGGGUCGAAAUGGGUCUCCAAGGCCACUCUCUCACAGUGCAUGUCUUAAUAGAGAAUCAAGAAAUAUGCUAGUGAUACAAAUUCUUCCUUCAUAGCCUAGAUUGUUUCGAAAGAGAUGAGUAGAGCCAUGGAGUUUUACAACAGUCAUCUAUGGAUGUCGACAACCUUGUAGCCACCAAUGAAUUACAAACUCCUGGGUUACUUAAAGAACAUUCCAUCAAGGGAGACCAUACACUCUCAUGCACUAAACUCAUCCAAUAGCAGUGAUAACUCCCCUACCAGGCUACUUGAACAUCCAAGACAUAGACCCUUAUACCAUUACUGGCAAAUACAGGGACUAGCAUAGGGAGCUAGGUUUUUUCCCAACUACAGUUCCCUCUGUUAGUCCGUGCAUUUGCUAGUAAUGGUGAAAAGGGUCUAUGUCUUGGAUGUUCAAGUAGCUGCGUAGAGGGACUGUCACUGCAAUUGGAUGGGUUUGGUGCAUGGGAGUGCACAGUGAUGUCUCCCUUGUUGGAAUGUUAAAGAACAAUAACUCUGGGAGCUGGUAGUUUAUUGGUGCUGAAGGGUUGUUGACAUCCAUAGAUGGCUGUUGUAAGUUUCCAUGGCUCUCCUCAUCCCUACCGAAAUAAUCUGAGCUAGAAUGGAAAGCUUUUGUAUAACUAGCAUUAUUUCUUGAUUCUCCAUCAAGACAUGCAGUGUUAGAGAGUGUCCUUGGAGACCCAUUUUGACCCAAGAUGAUGGGUUUGUGUUAGGUAUUGGAAGCGUCAUGCAGAUGGGGGUUGCACCUGCAACCAAUCCGUCCAUUUGUAUUAAAGGAAUUGUGGUAAAAUUUGUUUGGUUUGAAUUCAUGGUUGAUUGAGUGGGUAGAGAAGAAGUUGUUCGCUUUUGUCGGAGAUAAGAUUGUAUGAGUGUUCUUUUUAUUGAUAUUUAAAGGACGCAAAUCUAUUAUGAUAGAAUUUAUGGUAAUAAAAGUAGUAUUAAUUGUAGUUUUUAAUAUUCCUAGAAUGUUCGAACUAGGAGUAGAAGGAUUAACCUAGUAGUGCUUAUUGUAGUUUUGAUGUUUUGACAUAAUGAAGGAAUGAAAGAAUGAAAGAGAGAAAUGAAGGACCAACUAUCAGAUAGAAGAACAUCACCUUCCAUAUAGUGACUACAUCUUGUAUAUAACCACGAUAGCAUCCUCAAUUUUUGUUUAAAAAAAUCAUGAAAAAGAUACCAACAUUUUUGUCAUAUUGUAUUCAUAGAGUGCAACAAGUAUAUCAACUUACGGGUCGUUUGGUAGUUGACUAGAGUUAUACAUGUAUUAGUAACGAAAAAGGGUCAUAUUUGCCCUUGUACUCUCAUAAAUAAGUCAUAUUUUCCCUUCAUUACUUUUUCAACAAAUUUGUCCUUUUCAUCCAACUUUAGGGUCAUAUUUGCCCUUGUAUUCUCAAAAAGGGUCAUAUUUACCCCUACAACGUUCAAUAUUCAUGUAAAUAUAUUUGCCCUUUUCUUCCUACUUUAGGACCAUAUUUACCCUUAUACUAUAAAAAAUGUCAUUCUUAAAUAGAGAUUUCUUUCACCUUUUAAUUUUUGGCAAGCAAGAAGUAGAAAAAAACAAACAAAACCAACAAUAACUAAAGUAGGAAAAGCGCAAUUGUGAUGAAAACGAUAUAGCAAUGCGUCAUUCUCUCUACCUUUUUUUGCCUUGAAAAUCAAAACACACAUUUGGGAAAGAGAAAGUGAAAAAAAGUGCUUUCAACCCAGAUCACAAAGCGAAUAAAGAACCAAAUUAACAACUAGACAGUACAUUUGUACCCUAACCAUUAUCACUGAAUCUGUAAGAUUCUCAAGCUCACAAUGACAAUAUUGCCUUCGAAAAUUAAAACACCUAUUGGGGAAAGAAAGAGCGAAAAAAAUUCCUUUCAACCCAGAUCACAAAGCAUCAAGGAACCAAAUUAACAACUAAGCAGUACAUCAGCAUCAGUGUUUGUACCCUACUCCAUUGUCACUCAUAAUGUCAAUAUUGCCUAAAAAAAUAAAACUCACAUUGGGAAAGAAAAAAAAAAGACGAAACUUUUGCUCGGAUGAUAAGCACCUUCCACCUCCAACUCAAAGAAUGAGGGUUUGAGUCAUCAAGUAGCAAAAAAGGUGCAACCUCUUAGGGAGGGGUAAAAAAAAACCCAGAUCACAAAACCAGUAAAGAACCAAAUAAACAAUUAAGCAGUACAAAGCGCAUCAGGAUUUGUGCCCUUUACUCCAUUUGUCACUCACAAUGUCAAUUUUGUAUCACUAGCAUCAUUUCUUGAUUUUUCCAUCAAGACAUGCAGCAUUUGAAAGUUUUGACCAAAGAUGAAGGGUUCGUGUUAAGUACUGGCGGCAUAGUGUAGAUGGGGAUGGCACCCACAACCAAUUCGUCCACUGGUAUUAAAGGAAUUGGUGGUAAAGUUUGGAUUCAUGGUUGAUUGAGUGGGUAGAGAAGAGGCUGUUUGCUUUUGUCAAAGAUGAGAUCGUAUGGGUCUUCUGAUCAUUGAUAUUUAAAAAAAGCAAAUCUAUUGUGAUAGAAGUAGUAUUUAAUAUUCCUAGAAUGUUGGAAUUAUAAGUAGAAGGAUUAACGGCCUGAACUAGUAGUAUUUAUUGUAGUUUUCAUGUUCUGACAUAUUGAAAGAAUAAAAGAGAGAAAGGAAUGACCAACUAUCAUGAAUAAGGUCGUGUAAUAGAUCUACCCUCUCCUUUGUUUUGAGCAAAUGUAGAAGUGUGUCCAUAGGACGACACUAUGGAGCUGACUUAUUCUGUUCAUUUCUUUCCUUCCCAUGUUCUACGUUUAUUUGUCAUUCUUAAAUAGAGAUUUCUUUCACCUUUUAAUUUUUGGCAAUUAAUCCUUUUACUCGUAGUUCCAACAUCCUAGGAAUAUUAAGAGUUGCAAGAAAUACUAUUUCUAUUCCCAUUAAUUCAAUCACAAUAGAUUUGCCUCCUUUAAAUAUCAAUGACCAGAAGAUCCAUACAAUCUCAUUUUUGACAAAAGCGAAAAACCUCCUCUCUAUCACUCAGUCAAUCAUGGAUCCAAGCCAUACAAACCUUACCACCAACUCCCAUAAUACCAGUGGACGGAUUGGUUGCGGGUGCAACCCCCAUCUACAUGACGUCGCCAAUACCCAAAACAAACCCAGGGUCGAAAUGGGUCUCCAAGGCCACUCUCUCACAGUGCAUGUCUUAAUAGAGAAUCAAGAAAUAUGCUAGUGAUACAAAUUCUUCCUUCCUAGCUCAGAUUGUUUCGAAAGGGAUGAGUAGAGCCAUGGAGUUUUACAACAGUCAUCUAUGGAUGUCGACAACCCUUUAGCCACCAAUGAAUUACAAACUCCUGGGUUACUUAAAGAACAUUCCAUCAAGGGAGACCAUUGUACACUCUCAUGCACUAACUCAUCCAAUAGCAGUGAUAACUCGCAGCAACCUGAACAUCUAAGACAUAGACCCUUAUACCAUUACUGGCAAAUACAGGUACUAGCGCAGAGAACUGGGUUUUUUCCCAACUAUGGUUCCCUGCGCUAGUCCGUGCAUUUGCUAGUAAUGGUGCAAAGGGUCUAUGUCUUGGAUGUUCAGGUAGCCUGAUAGAGGGGUUGUCACUACAAUUGGAUGGGUUUGGUGCAUGAGAGUGCACAGUGGUGUCUCCCUUGUUGGAAUGUUAAAGAACAAUAAGUCCCCGGGAGCUGGUAGUUUAUUGGUGGCCGAAGGAUUGUCGACAGCCAUAGAUGGCUGUUGUAAGUCUCCAUGGCUCGCCUCAUCCCUUCCGAAAUAAUCUAAGCUAGAAUGGAAAGCUUUUGUAUCACUAGCAUUAUUUCUUGAUUCUCCAUCAAGACAUGUAGUGUUAGAGAGUG
This 13613-nucleotide long non-coding RNA is filed under the name Solanum tuberosum (potato). RNAcentral describes it as "long non-coding RNA (STUB_LNC001244)". The record is from RNAcentral. Lineage: Eukaryota; Viridiplantae; Streptophyta; Magnoliopsida; Solanales; Solanaceae.